This is a long non-coding RNA of Triticum dicoccoides, 2016 nucleotides long. RefSeq lists it as uncharacterized. The record is from RefSeq and is a predicted model, not a curated record. The transcript has 3 exons. Lineage: Eukaryota; Viridiplantae; Streptophyta; Magnoliopsida; Poales; Poaceae.
CCGUAGCUCUUCGUCCCACGCACGCCGCCAUGCCUCACGCCGGUCGAUCCCACGCCGUCCCACCGCCGCCCACGCCGCCCGGAGCUGCCGUCGGUCUAUUCCCACGCCGCCCUGCCUCUGACCCCAUGCCGCCCUCCCUCUACCGCGCCGCUCCAGCGCCGCCCAUCGCCGUCCGGCCUCUCCAUCCCCGGCCCGACGCGCUCGUGCUCUCUCUUCGGAUGGCCCCCUCUCUCCUCAGCUACAUCCAGCACAGCUGCCGCCUCCUCCCUGGCCCGACCUCCCCCAUCUCCACCAUGAAGGUACACGCAGCGGCGGCGGCGAGCUGGAUCUGGGCAGCAUGCUGUUGGGCAAGGGCAUUGAUACGACUGAGGUACAGCUCUUCCCUCUCGUCCUUGCCUCCCUCCUUCUAUCCCUCUCUCCCCUGGAGGCGUAUUGCGAAGGUGGGCUGGCGGGGAAAAGAGUGCUCCGCCGGUGGGGAAUGGGGAGCUCCGCCGGUGGGGAGCGAGUAGAUGUUCCAGUGGACAAGGCACCUCAUGCUUUUUUUCUUCACCGGUUCUCUGUUUUGCCGUGUACUGCUGCUAGUUAGUCUAAUUGUGAGAAGUUGAGGUUUAUGAGAAGUAUUGUGGUAGCAAUACAAACUGAUUUUAGAAGUUCAGCAGUUGUGUGCAAAUUAUGUUUGUUUCCAUUGCAAAUUUUGUGGUAGCUAUAUGUAUUAAUCUUUUGUUUGUUUCCAUUGGUCAUUUUGUUCACCUUUCACUAAGAGUCAUGUUUUCGGUUUUGCCCUUCUUACGCUUUUGUCCAAGAUAGAUUAUUUUUUGCUAUACCAAGAAGUUCCUUAGAUUUGUUUUUGUUUUGUGCUUAGUCUGCCAUGAUGUUCUUAGUCUGCCACCAUGUUUACUAUCUCUUUGUGCUUCAGAAGCGGAUUGUUCACAUGUAAAAACUUUCCUUUUACAUAAGAUGAUUGUUCAAGUGCGAAGCUAAGCUACCACAGAUUAAUAAAAGUGAUAUAGGCAAAAGCACGUGUGAGUGUUGCCAAUGGAGGCAUUGGUUCGCUAGGACAGAUAUAGAUAGAUUAGUUCAUAAAGCAAGUGAUACUGAAUAUUAAAAAAAAGGGUUGUGUACGAUCUUCUAAUGUGUUGUUUUAUCAGCGAUGUACUCAUACAGUGUGUCUUUUGUUGGAGGAAAAAUGGCAAGUGGAAACGAAAAAGAUAGAGAUGGUGCGGUCAUGGAGGAGGAACAACUGGAAGUGGUAGAGUAUGAACUACAGAGAAGUAGGAUCAUUGAGGAAAAUGAUAAAGGGUUGGUAGCGGCACGAGCAACAAGAGCCUCGAUGCAGAAAGAUAUGGAAGCAAACCAAGCCCAAAAAAGAAAAGAAAGCGAUUACUCGUGAGCUUGAUGCUGAAGGUAGUCAAAAGAAAGGUGGAAGGAAAAUUACUUAAAAGGCUAACAUAUAUGCAAGGCUGCAUCAACCCAAAAUCCAUAUUCCACUUAAUGUGAAUGGCCAGCCUGUUGGGCCAGAUGCAACCGAAUUUACCAAUUUCAUUGGUACUUUGGUCAGGAAACACAAAAUGGAAGGAUUGGAAGUAAGAUUUAAAGAGGCACAAGUUUGAUGUUGUGCUGACUGAUGCAGAACUUAUGAAAAGACAUGACAGCAGAAUUAGUGAAGCUGACUUGAAGACCCUUAUUAUUUAUUGGAGAUCUUCGGUAUUUGAAGUUGCUGUCAGGUUGUGUAGGAAAGACAAAGAGGACCAAGAAGGAACCAUGAUGCUGUCAGUUUGCAUGAACUAGAUAUCCACCGUAAUGGAGCAAAACAAUGCAUCUUGUAGCUAUCAUAUUGUAAAGCAUAUCUUGUGUAACAGAGCAUGCAUUGAAUCGAUGGACACGCAUCUAUGAUUUUGUAAACCUAUCUGGUGUUUCGGCCACUUAGACAAAUGUUUCCUCUUAUUUAGUUACCUUUAUUAUCGGAAUUACUAGUGUUAUUUUUGUUUGCUUCUGGUUUAAUAUUUUCAAAGUACA